CUACGGGAUGCUCCAGUGGGGAAUAUUGGACAAUGGGGGCAACCCUGAUCCAGCCAUGCCGCGUGAAUGAAGAAGGCCUUCGGGUUGUAAAGUUCUUUUAAUAGUGAAGAUAAUGACGGUAACUAUAGAAAAAGCACCGGCUAACUCCGUGCCAGCAGCCGCGGUAAUACGGAGGGUGCGAGCGUUGUUCGGAUUUACUGGGCGUAAAGGGUGCGUAGGCGGAUAUAAAGGUCAGGUGUGAAAUCCCGAGGCUCAACCUCGGAACUGCAUUUGAAACCGUAAAUCUAGAGUGUGACAGAGGAUGAUGGAAUUUCUAGUGUAGCAGUGAAAUGCGUAGAUAUUAGAAGGAACACCAGAGGCGAAGGCGAUCAUCUGGGUCAUUACUGACGCUGAGGCACGAAAGUGUGGGUAGCAAACAGGAUUAGAUACCCUUGUAGUC
Molecule: ribosomal RNA, 439 nt
Filed under: uncultured bacterium
Lineage: Bacteria
Description: partial 16S ribosomal RNA
Rfam family: Bacterial small subunit ribosomal RNA
Source: RNAcentral